ACAGCAGCCGCCGCGGUAAGACGAACCGUGCGAACGUUAUUCGGAAUCACUGGGCUUAAAGCGCGUGUAGGCGGGAGGGCACGUCCGUCGCUGAAAUCCCCCGGCUCAACCGGGGAACGGGCGCGGAUACGACUCUUCUGGAGGAACGUAGGGGGACCUGGAACUUCCGGUGGAGCGGUGAAAUGCGUUGAGAUCGGAAGGAACGCCCGUGGCGAAAGCGAGGUCCUGGACGUUUACUGACGCUGAGACGCGAAAGCCAGGGGAGCGAACGGGAUUAGAUACCCCCGUAGUCCCUGUCUCUUAUA
Molecule: ribosomal RNA, 305 nt
Filed under: uncultured bacterium
Lineage: Bacteria
Description: partial 16S ribosomal RNA
Rfam family: Bacterial small subunit ribosomal RNA
Source: RNAcentral